This 666-nucleotide ribosomal RNA is filed under the name Leuconostoc mesenteroides. RNAcentral describes it as "bacterial SSU rRNA". It matches the Rfam family "Bacterial small subunit ribosomal RNA", at positions 64 to 712 of the family's 1533-position model. Lineage: Bacteria; Bacillati; Bacillota; Bacilli; Lactobacillales; Lactobacillaceae. The record is from RNAcentral.
GAACGCACAGCGAAAGGUGCUUGCACCUUUCAAGUGAGUGGCGAACGGGUGAGUAACACGUGGACAACCUGCCUCAAGGCUGGGGAUAACAUUUGGAAACAGAUGCUAAUACCGAAUAAAACUUAGUGUCGCAUGACAAAAAGUUAAAAGGCGCUUCGGCGUCACCUAGAGAUGGAUCCGCGGUGCAUUAGUUAGUUGGUGGGGUAAAGGCCUACCAAGACAAUGAUGCAUAGCCGAGUUGAGAGACUGAUCGGCCACAUUGGGACUGAGACACGGCCCAAACUCCUACGGGAGGCUGCAGUAGGGAAUCUUCCACAAUGGGCGAAAGCCUGAUGGAGCAACGCCGCGUGUGUGAUGAAGGCUUUCGGGUCGUAAAGCACUGUUGUAUGGGAAGAACAGCUAGAAUAGGAAAUGAUUUUAGUUUGACGGUACCAUACCAGAAAGGGACGGCUAAAUACGUGCCAGCAGCCGCGGUAAUACGUAUGUCCCGAGCGUUAUCCGGAUUUAUUGGGCGUAAAGCGAGCGCAGACGGUUUAUUAAGUCUGAUGUGAAAGCCCGGAGCUCAACUCCGGAAUGGCAUUGGAAACUGGUUAACUUGAGUGCAGUAGAGGUAAGUGGAACUCCAUGUGUAGCGGUGGAAUGCGUAGAUAUAUGGAAGAACACCAG